This 3129-nucleotide long non-coding RNA is filed under the name Bemisia tabaci. RNAcentral's name for it is "lncRNA ENSSSA3NGG010126". Lineage: Eukaryota; Metazoa; Arthropoda; Insecta; Hemiptera; Aleyrodidae. The record is from RNAcentral.
AAAUGGUGUCCUCUGUUCACUGAGGAAAUGACUUUUAUUCUGUCAGCUAUUAAUGUUCGAUCAAAUAAUUAUUUUCUUCUUCUUUUUUUCGCAGAAAAUCCGAACCAUUUCAAGAAUAACACAGGGUUUGCUGAUCUGAUGUUGCAAUUCAAGAGACAGUUGCUCGGUAUAACAAAGCAUCCCUUAACUCAUACAGCCCUAACAGAAAAAAAUUGGUUUCACUAUGCUUCGAAAGUAUGGGAUGGUAUAAAGAAGAGUCCAUUUUAUUCGGAAUACAGCAGACUUUUGCCGUGAUGGUUUAUCUGGAUAUAUUUCUUUGGAUGAAGUCUUUGCUGAAUCGUUGACCUCUGAGGUAAGAAAUUUAAUCCAUUCUAUGCUCGUUGAAUGUACUUGCCCAAGAGGUAAUAAAAACGAGUUGAAAGAUAUGACAAUAAUAAAUUAGAAAAUCGUGCCUGCAGUCGCUGCAAUACUUUCUUUUGUCAGGACUGUGUGUCGAUUUUCCUAACUGAAUCAAAUCUAAAAUAAAAAAUCCCUUCAAAUGCGUUUUACAUUCCACCAAAACAUGAAGUUGCAUAUGAAAGUAAAAUUCGUCACAGUGUUUUUUACUCAUGUACAAUAGAUAAGGGGGCUCAAGUGUAUGUUUAAAUUUGGAAGAGAAAUGCUCUAGAAAGAUGACAAUUCUUUUUUUUUCAAAAAUCCACGUAAUUUAUUUGAAAAAAAGAAAAAAAGAAUCACUUAGAAACAAGAAUCAGCAGAUCAGAAACAAAACAUAUAAAAAGAAACAGAACGAAACAAGAAACAAAUAAAGCUCAAAAUCUAAUCACAUUUAUCUUCCACGUUUAGCAGUCCAUUAUCCAUCUUUCUUAAGACUUACUUAAGUAAGGAUAUUUAGUGCUAAGUCGUUAGGAAGAUAAAAGACAAAAACGAUAAUAACCUAUGAGCUUUGCUGGCUGAUUUUGAAAGUUAACACACAGGAAGACUAAGUUAAAAUACAGAAGCUUUGUCGGAAGGUUUUGUUCGAAAUGGAUCUCUCUUUGCAUAUUUUUGUUUAAAAAUACAGAGCAUACAGACAGUGAAACUGCAGUAAAGCGUAUUAUAGUUUGUGACAUUGCUAACUUCCUGUAAUACUCUAUUUCUGAAGUGGGAAAUCUCGCAACGAUCUCUCUUGAAUACGUCCUAGAUUUUUCUUUCAUGUGUGAGGAUUAAUCUUUGGAAAUUCUAAGUAAUAGCGUUGGUUUGUUCCCAUUUGAUAAAAUGAAACAGGAGCGUAGGUUUUGAAAUACCACAAGCAAGACAAACGUUCCUGCAGUUUCUUCGUCUAUUCAUCACGAAUUUUUAGAUCUAAUUUUGUUCUUGUUAUAUCAGCCAACUUAUCAAUAAAAACCAGCCAAGUAAGGUUGAUAGGUAAAUAUUGCACAAAUUAUUUCACAUCACCAUUUUCUUUUUCGAAAGUAAUAUUCUCCUCAAAGAAAACUUUUAGAAGCUUUUAAGAUUCAUUUAACUUAUACUCUAAUGAAAAUAAAUGAUUGAUAUGUAGCGAUUUUCUCACUCCUGCAAUUAGAACUGCAUAUUAAUCGAUUAUCUUGGUAUGUUUAAUAGGCCACCUGACAAGGUUGGCCCUGAAUAACAACCCUCCUUCAAGUACAUAUAAUUUUGCUGUUAUUCUCGUCGAGUUCCUCAUUCAGUUUUGAUUACCAAAGAAUUUAAAUUUCAUAAUAUUUUUUCAGUGUCUCUGAAACUCAUACUAAAAUAGGAUGAUCUUUAUUCGCUCAUCUCCAGUUAACUAUUUACAUCAGUCUGAUAAGUCGUGCCUUCAGAAAAAAAAUAUUAAAACACGUCUUUUCCUCUCUGUACAAAUCACAAAGGAGUUUGUGUAAUCUACUAACUAAAAAUUACAAUCUAUCAUAAUCUUCAUGUUACAAUUAUGAAAACUGAAGUAUAAUUUAUCUACAUAGAUUCAUACAAAAUAGUUUGUGUUUUUGCUGUAUCGGGAAUAUUAGUCAUAAAGGUUUUUGUUCUUUGGCUGAGCAGGAGUAUAUUAUGUGACAUCAAAUGUGUUGGUAGUUCAAUCGUUUUGUUUUCUGAGUGUUGAACUUUGCUUUCACUUCUUAUGAGGAUUAUAACUUUAUCGUUUGGAAAAUUUCUAUCGCAUGACAUUGAAAAACAACCAUACGUUACGAAGACAGUGGAGGUUACUCGAAUGAAGUAAAUUCAACUUGUGAAAUGGAGCAAAUUCAACUGUAACUUUUAGUAAAUGUGGAUUUGGUUAGAAAGGUCUAAACCUUCAUCUCAUUCCAAACAAAUCAAGUCGAUUGUCGGACUGACUGUCUAGAAUCAUAAUUAUUUCCUGAAGAUGGAAGGAAAGCAUCUUGAAACUACCUCUAAAUUACACACAGUAAGAGGAUUCAGAGUUUUCCAAAUAUUUUCACCCUUCCUGUUGUUGAAAGCAAGAAUGUAUCAUACUUAAUUCUUGAGAUGUGGGCAUCCAUCUAUGACCAAAAAAUAGGCCAUUUUGUGACAUUUUUUACAAAUUGAAUCUGUACACCCAUUAUCUUAAAGUGCGGCCAAGCCUCUUGGCUACUGUAUUCAAAAUUUAAAUUUUUUAGUCUUACGUAGGCAAAGUAUCCUACGAUAGAUAAGCCUAGUCCUUUUUAAACUUUAUAUUUCCAGCAUCAAUUUUGAAUGGUUUGAUAAUGCCAUAUUGAAAAUACCAUAUAAUGAAUGUUGAUUUUCUUGUAAUUGAAGAUUACUCAAGAAAAGAAAAGCAAUCAAUCUGUAGUUGAGACAUUCUCACUUCGGACAAAAGUUUACAAGUUCAACUUUCUCGUUUAUUUGGCCACUUUCUACAGUCAAUCUUGGACAUAAAGUUUUUACGGUCAAAUCAAAAUUUUUUCGUGCAUUACUCUCAAGUUUUCGAUCAGUUUUAAUUUUACCCUCAUUGAUAGACGCUUCUCAAGAAAGGUUUCCGGCGGGUUUGAAUAGGCUUGUAUGAGUGCUGGUACACAGAAGCAAGUCGCCAGUGCUCGGGAUAAUCCUGCCCAGUCGUUCCUGGCCACAGCGAGAAUGGUGGCACUAGAGUUCCGAUCGAGUAACUUCUCUUUGCGAACGGAGUCUUCGGUUUCGGAAUGU